GGAAUAUUGGUCAAUGGACGCAGGUCUGAACCAGCCAUGCCGCGUGCAGGAAGACGGCCCUCUGGGUUGUAAACUGCUUUUGUACGGGAAGAAACCCUCUUUCGUGAAAGAGGCUGACGGUACCGUAAGAAUAAGGAUCGGCUAACCCCGCGCCAGCAUCCGCGGUAAUACGGAGGAUCCAAGCGUUAUCCGGAUUUAUUGGGUUUAAAGGGUGCGUAGGCGGAAUAUUAAGUCAGUGGUGAAAGCCUGAAGCUUAACUUCAGAACUGCCAUUGAUACUGAUGUUCUUGAAUAUAGUUGAGGUGGGCGGAAUGUGUCAUGUAGCGGUGAAAUGCUUAGAUAUGACACAGAACACCGAUUGCGAAGGCAGCUCGCUAAACUAUCAUUGACGCUGAGGCACGAAAGCGUGGGGAUCAAAC
This 418-nucleotide ribosomal RNA is filed under the name uncultured bacterium. RNAcentral describes it as "bacterial SSU rRNA". It matches the Rfam family "Bacterial small subunit ribosomal RNA", at positions 358 to 773 of the family's 1533-position model. The record is from RNAcentral.